AUGGGGAGGGGGGAAGCCAAAACGCUUAAAGUUUCCAGCUUAAAACAAAGAGGAAAAAAAAAAGAAAGAAAAAAAAAAAGAAAAAAAAAGGACUUUUUAAGGUGGUUUCCAGGACAGAUGCUUUUCGGGGUGGGAAAGGCUUUGCAAGAGCCCGAAGAGGCGGGGGGGGGGGGGGGGAGGGGGGGGGAAAAAAAAAAAAAAUCGCCGGUCCUUUCCCCCCCGCCGCCGUCGGCACCCGACGCCAUCGCCUCCCGCGCCAAUUCACGCGCGCGCCUCCCUGAAAACGAAAACACAAACAACAAAAAAAGUGCCCCCAACAACAUAGAUUGCAUAGUAUUGCUG
Molecule: long non-coding RNA, 342 nt
Filed under: Apteryx rowi (Okarito brown kiwi)
Lineage: Eukaryota; Metazoa; Chordata; Aves; Apterygiformes; Apterygidae
Description: lncRNA (ENSARWG00000003041.1)
Source: RNAcentral